GUUUGCCUACGGGAGGCAGCAGUAGGGAAUUUUUCACAAUGGGCGAAAGCCUGAUGGAGCAAUGCCGCGUGAAUGAUGAAGGUCUUAUAGAUUGUAAAAUUCUUUUAUUUGGGAAGAAAAACUAAAGUAGGAAAUGACUUUAGUCUGACUGUACCAUUUGAAUAAGUAUCGGCUAACUAUGUGCCAGCAGCCGCGGUAAUACAUAGGAUGCAAGCGUUAUCCGGAUUUACUGGGCGUAAAACGAGCGCAGGCGGGGUAACAAGGUUGGGAUGAAAGGCUUUUGGUUAAAGGAAGGU
RNAcentral lists this ribosomal RNA (296 nucleotides) under uncultured bacterium. RNAcentral describes it as "partial 16S ribosomal RNA". It matches the Rfam family "Bacterial small subunit ribosomal RNA", at positions 333 to 620 of the family's 1533-position model. The record is from RNAcentral.